GUGCUUGCACUAAAUGAAACUAGAUACAAGCGAGCGGCGGACGGGUGAGUAACACGUGGGUAACCUGCCCAAGAGACUGGGAUAACACCUGGAAACAGAUGCUAAUACCGGAUAACAACACUAGACGCAUGUCUAGAGUUUGAAAGAUGGUUCUGCUAUCACUCUUGGAUGGACCUGCGGUGCAUAGCUAGUUGGUAAGGUAACGGCUUACCAAGGCAAUGAUGCAUAGCCGAGUUGAGAGACUGAUCGGCCACAUUGGGACUGAGACACGGCCCAAACUCCUACGGGAGGCAGCAGUAGGGAAUCUUCCACAAUGGACGAAAGUCUGAUGGAGCAACGCCGCGUGAGUGAAGAAGGGUUUCGGCUCGUAAAGCUCUGUUGGUAGUGAAGAAAGAUAGAGGUAGUAACUGGCCUUUAUUUGACGGUAAUUACUUAGAAAGUCACGGCUAACUACGUGCCAGCAGCCGCGGUAAUACGUAGGUGGCAAGCGUUGUCCGGAUUUAUUGGGCGUAAAGCGAGUGCAGGCGGUUCAAUAAGUCUGAUGUGAAAGCCUUCGGCUCAACCGGAGAAUUGCAUCAGAAACUGUUGAACUUGAGUGCAGAAGAGGAGAGUGGAACUCCAUGUGUAGCGGUGGAAUGCGUAGAUAUAUGGAAGAACACCAGUGGCGAAGGGCGGCUCUCUGGUCUGCAACUGACGCUU
Molecule: ribosomal RNA, 699 nt
Filed under: uncultured bacterium
Lineage: Bacteria
Description: bacterial SSU rRNA
Rfam family: Bacterial small subunit ribosomal RNA
Source: RNAcentral